AUGUUUUAGCAUAGAUUCAGGAGUUAAGUACAGUUGAAUUAGAUGGCUGCUGAGGUCCACUCCAACCCUGACAUCUUCUGACUUUGUUUUUCUUAUACUUUAAUUCUUCUCCACAGGUAUUGUACAAUCCGACUGCUCUCACUUAAGAGGGGCCCAGCUGCCCUGGCUUAGAGCGGCUCAGCUGAAUGCUGUAAACCGCCUCUGUGCCUCUGCAUUGGCUAUCUCCAUCUCCUAUGGCUGUGAGCUUCCCAGCUUCAAGUAAGAUAAAGCUCAACUUCCCUUUUCCAGAGAAAGCCUUUCCUUGUCCUGAAGCCACUAAUUUGCCACUCUCUGUAGCCUCAGCUCUUAGCAUAAGGCCAGACACAGAGUGAGCACUUACUACAAUGUUUGUUGGCUAACUGACUCUGAAAGUGUAUUGUGCUGUCAACAAUCCCAAGCUGCACUGAUAUAAACUUUUCCGGCUCUCAAUAUUCUCUUAGCUACAUAGCUGUGAACUGUGCAACAUUACCACCCAGAGAACUUGCAGGUGACCUAAAGUAAAAUGGAGAGAUGCCCAGCGGGUCGAAACAGGAUGUAGCAUGAGAACAACUUGUGAAGUUUGCCUGGAAAAACAGCCUAAGAAAUGUCAUCUGUGAAAUGUGUGAUCAAAAAAGGGAUUGGAUCAGGGAAUAGAAUAAGGACCUAGAUAACCAAGGUGUAGGAUGGUACCAGUGAGAUGUUAAGAGACCAAGAAGAAGUCCUACAGUUCUGAUUAGGUCCUCAAGGAAGGACUGGGGAGAAAAAAAGAUGAGAAUUACCGAAGAAGGAGCAGAGAGAAAAGGAGCAACCUAGCCUGAUUUGAGAGCUGGAAUGCGUCUUGGAAGUUGUUUAAUCCUCCAUACUAGCUUAGAAGAUCCAUGAGGGCAAGAAUGUUCUGAAACAGAGGAGGAACAAAACUCACAAGCAAAGAUUUUUCAGAAACCAACUGAACUACAAGAUGUUCUCCAGGCAAAAAUAUACCUUCAUUCUAGGGAAUAUCUUUACUACACAUGUGAAAGGUGCAGAUCAAAUUAACCACACUAAAUAAGCAUUCAGUCUUCAAAGUAACUGCGCUUAAAGUUCCACAAUUUGAGGGUUUGGGGAAGCCGAGAUGAAGCAGACCCUAUGAUUUCACAGCUCAGGAAACUUCAGAAGUUUUUGCUGCUAAUGCAUAUCUGCAGCUACUUAGCAACCAAUAAUUCAAGCAUUUAUUAUAUACUUCUUCUGGGUCAGGAAUUGUGUUAUAUAUUUGGGACAGAAUGGAAACCCUGAAUUUUGCACUCAGAAAGCUGCCUAGGAUACUGAGCAGUCAGGUGACUUUGCUCAUAUGUAUCAAAAAGGUUCCCUAAGGAUCCUAGACCUCCCAGAGGGUGAUGCCUGAGCAGAGUGUUAAGCUCUUAAGCAAUAGCUGUCGAGAACAAACACUUGUAGAGUCAAGGAAACAGGACUUGACUGACUUCACAUUGCUCCUUACAAUGGCAAGAGGGAAACAUGAGAACCAGCCAACUAUGGAUCUGAGUCAUGAACUUUUCUAUAGUGUCCAGCUCUUCUUAGUAUCUCUGAAAAAAAAUUAACUAAAAACAC
Molecule: long non-coding RNA, 1602 nt
Organism: Antechinus flavipes (yellow-footed antechinus)
Lineage: Eukaryota; Metazoa; Chordata; Mammalia; Dasyuromorphia; Dasyuridae
Exons: 2
Source: RefSeq, a predicted model, not a curated record